GGCGGCAGCUACACAUGCAGUCGAGCGGUAGCACAGAGAGCUUGCUCUCGGGUGACGAGCGGCGGACGGGUGAGUAAUGUCUGGGAAACUGCCUGAUGGAGGGGGAUAACUACUGGAAACGGUAGCUAAUACCGCAUAACGUCGCAAGACCAAAGUGGGGGACCUUCGGGCCUCAUGCCAUCAGAUGUGCCCAGAUGGGAUUAGCUAGUAGGUGGGGUAAUGGCUCACCUAGGCGACGAUCCCUAGCUGGUCUGAGAGGAUGACCAGCCACACUGGAACUGAGACACGGUCCAGACUCCUACGGGAGGCAGCAGUGGGGAAUAUUGCACAAUGGGCGCAAGCCUGAUGCAGCCAUGCCGCGUGUAUGAAGAAGGCCUUCGGGUUGUAAAGUACUUUCAGCGAGGAGGAAGGCGUUAAGGUUAAUAACCUUAGCGAUUGACGUUACUCGCAGAAGAAGCACCGGCUAACUCCGUGCCAGCAGCCGCGGUAAUACGGAGGGUGCAAGCGUUAAUCGGAAUUACUGGGCGUAAAGCGCACGCAGGCGGUCUGUCAAGUCGGAUGUGAAAUCCCCGGGCUCAACCUGGGAACUGCAUUCGAAACUGGCAGGCUAGAGUCUUGUAGAGGGGGGUAGAAUUCCAGGUGUAGCGGUGAAAUGCGUAGAGAUCUGGAGGAAUACCGGUGGCGAAGGCGGCCCCCUGGACAAAGACUGACGCUCAGGUGCGAAAGCGUGGGGAGCAAACAGGAUUAGAUACCCUGGUAGUCCACGCCGUAAACGAUGUCGACUUGGAGGUUGUGCCCUUGAGGCGUGGCUUCCGGAGCUAACGCGUUAAGUCGACCGCCUGGGGAGUACGGCCGCAAGGUUAAAACUCAAAUGAAUUGACGGGGGCCCGCACAAGCGGUGGAGCAUGUGGUUUAAUUCGAUGCAACGCGAAGAACCUUACCUACUCUUGACAUCCAGAGAACUUAGCAGAGAUGCUUUGGUGCCUUCGGGAACUCUGAGACAGGUGCUGCAUGGCUGUCGUCAGCUCGUGUUGUGAAAUGUUGGGUUAAGUCCCGCAACGAGCGCAACCCUUAUCCUUUGUUGCCAGCGGUCCGGCCGGGAACUCAAAGGAGACUGCCAGUGAUAAACUGGAGGAAGGUGGGGAUGACGUCAAGUCAUCAUGGCCCUUACGAGUAGGGCUACACACGUGCUACAAUGGCAUAUACAAAGAGAAGCGACCUCGCGAGAGCAAGCGGACCUCAUAAAGUAUGUCGUAGUCCGGAUUGGAGUCUGCAACUCGACUCCAUGAAGUCGGAAUCGCUAGUAAUCGUAGAUCAGAAUGCUACGGUGAAUACGUUCCCGGGCCUUGUACACACCGCCCGUCACACCAUGGGAGUGGGUUGCAAAAGAAGUAGGUAGCUUAACCUUCGGGAGGGCGCUACCACUUUGAUCA
Molecule: ribosomal RNA, 1433 nt
Filed under: Klebsiella aerogenes
Lineage: Bacteria; Pseudomonadati; Pseudomonadota; Gammaproteobacteria; Enterobacterales; Enterobacteriaceae
Description: bacterial SSU rRNA
Rfam family: Bacterial small subunit ribosomal RNA
Source: RNAcentral